Molecule: microRNA, 22 nt
Filed under: Pongo abelii (Sumatran orangutan)
Lineage: Eukaryota; Metazoa; Chordata; Mammalia; Primates; Hominidae
Also listed under: 1 other name
Description: Pab-Mir-561_3p* (star (passenger))
Source: RNAcentral
CAAAGUUUAAGAUCCUUGAAGU